CGGGGAAUUUUUGUCAAUGGGGGAAACCUUGAACAAGCAACGCCGCGUGGAGGAUGAAGACCCUCGGGUCGUAAACUCCUGUCGGAGGGGACGAAACCGGUCGUAGUUAAUACCUGCGAUCAUUGACGGUACCCUACGAGGAAGCCCCGGCUAACUCCGUGCCAGCAGCCGCGGUAAUACGGGGGGGGCAAGCGUUGUUCGGAAUUACUGGGCGUAAAGCGUGCGCAGGCGGUGAUGUAAGACAGAUGUGAGAUCCCCGGGCUCAACCUGGGACCUGCAUUUGUGACUGCAUCGCUAGAGUACGGUAGAGGGGGAUGGAAUUCCGCGUGUAGCAGUGAAAUGCGUAGAUAUGCGGAGGAACACCGAUGGCGAAGGCAAUCCCCUGGACCUGUACUGACGCUCAUGCACGAAAGCGUGGGGAGCAAACAGGAUUAGAUACCCUGGUAGUCCACGCCCUAAACGAUGUCAACUGGUUGUUGGGUCUUUACUGACUCAGUAACGAAGCUAACGCGUGAAGUUGACCGCCUGGGGAGUACGGCCGCAAGGUUG
RNAcentral lists this ribosomal RNA (549 nucleotides) under uncultured bacterium. RNAcentral's name for it is "bacterial SSU rRNA". It matches the Rfam family "Bacterial small subunit ribosomal RNA", at positions 355 to 896 of the family's 1533-position model. The record is from RNAcentral.